ACUCAAAGGAAUUGACGGGGGCCCGCACAAGCGGUGGAGCAUGUGGUUCAAUUCGACGCAACGCGAAGAACCUUACCUGGGCUCGAAAUGUAGUGGACCGGGGUGGAAACAUCCCUUUCUCGCAAGAGACUGCUAUAUAGGUGCUGCAUGGCUGUCGUCAGCUCGUGUCGUGAGAUGUUGGGUUAAGUCCCGCAACGAGCGCAACCCUUAUUGCCAGUUGCUAACAGGUCAAGCUGAGCACUCUGGCGAAACUGCCCCGGAUAACGGGGAGGAAGGUGGGGAUGACGUCAAGUCCUCAUGGCCUUUAUGUCCAGGGCUACACACGUGCUACAAUGGGUGGUACAAACCGUCGCAAACCCGCGAGGGGGAGCUAAUCGGAAAAAGCCAUCCUCAGUUCGGAUUGGAGUCUGCAACCCGACUCCAUGAAGCUGGAAUCGCUAGUAAUCGCGGAUCAGCACGCCGCGGUGAAUACGUUCCCGGGCCUUGUACACACCGCCCGU
This 500-nucleotide ribosomal RNA is filed under the name uncultured bacterium. Its description in RNAcentral is "partial 16S ribosomal RNA". It matches the Rfam family "Bacterial small subunit ribosomal RNA", at positions 899 to 1397 of the family's 1533-position model. The record is from RNAcentral.